GAUGAACGCUGGCGGCGUGCCCAAUACAUGCAAGUCGAGCGGACGGACGAGAAGCUUGCUUCGCGGAUGUUAGGGGCGGACGUGAGAGUAACACGAGGAUAACCCACCUAUAAGACUGGUAUAACUUGGGGAAACCGUAUAUAACACGGUAUAAUAAUGUGAACCGCAGGGUUCAAAAGGGAAAGACGUUCUUGCUGUCACGUAUAGAUGGAUCCGCGCUGCAUUAGCUAGUUGGUAAGGAAACAGCUGACCAAGGCAACGAUGCAUAGCCGACCUGAGCGGGUGAUCGGCGACACUGGAGCUGGGCCACGGUCCAGACGACUGAGAGAGGGCGCAGUCGCGAAUCUUACGCAAUGGGCGGAAGCCUGACGGAGCAGGGCCGAGCGAGUGGCGACGGUCUUCGGUUAGUAAUGCUCUGUUAUUAGGGAUGAACCUAUGUGUACGUAGAUGUGCCCAUCGUGACGGUACCUACUCAGAAAGCACCGGCUAACUACGUG
RNAcentral lists this ribosomal RNA (497 nucleotides) under uncultured bacterium. Its description in RNAcentral is "partial 16S ribosomal RNA". It matches the Rfam family "Bacterial small subunit ribosomal RNA", at positions 28 to 507 of the family's 1533-position model. The record is from RNAcentral.